AGAGUUUGAUCAUGGCUCAGAACGUACGCUGGCGGCACGCCUAACACAUGCAAGUCGAACGCAGUAGCAAUACUGAGUGGCAAACGGGUGAGUAUAAUGUGGGAAUCUGCCUUUUGGUUUGGAAUAACACGGGGAAACUUGUGCUAAUACCAAAUAAGCCUUCACAGGGAAAGUUUUAACGCCGAAAGAUGAGCCCGCACUUGAUUAGCUAGUUGGUAAGGUAAAAGCUUACCAAGGCAAUGAUCAAUAGCUGUUCUUAGAGGAAGACCAGCCACAUUGGGACUGAGACACGGCCCAGACUCCUACGGGAGGCAGCAGUGGGGAAUCUUGCACAAUGGGGGAAACCCUGAUGCAGCGAUGCCGCGUGAGUGAAGAAGGCCUUUGGGUUGUAAAACUCUUUCGUCGGGGAAGAAAAUGACUGUACCCGAAUAAGAAGGUCCGGCUAACUUCGUGCCAGCAGCCGCGGUAAUAC
Molecule: ribosomal RNA, 472 nt
Filed under: uncultured bacterium
Lineage: Bacteria
Description: bacterial SSU rRNA
Rfam family: Bacterial small subunit ribosomal RNA
Source: RNAcentral